AUGGAACGGAUGGAGGUGGACCAGUGCGCAGGCGCGGCUGGGGGGGCGGGGGGCGGGGCCCUGCGCAGGUCGAACAGCGCCCCCAUGAUUACCAGCGUCAGUGACGGGAUGACCGUCUUCAGUCCCGUGUCCUCGGCUCGGUACAGGCGCAGCAGCGUGUCCAUCAACCCCAGCUGUCCUUCACAGCUCGUCCCUUUGUCUCCGUUCUCUCUGACUGGAGACCACAAGAGACAGGAGGAGAACAUGGAGAUGACACUCAGAGGAAGUCUGCAGAGACUCAGUGGUUCCAGUCUGGUUCCAGUUCCUCCGGUGGCUCAGUGGACCGAUCAGACCUCAGUGUGGUUUCAGUCACAGGACAGCGGCGUCACACCUAACUCCUCCCCCAGUCCCACCAGGAGGUUCAGACCGGCAGUAAGAUGGCCGCCGCUAACGCCGCUGAAGAGGAAAGGGGGGGCAGAGUCUGACGGACCUCCAAAGAAGCUCUUUGUUGCCGGGGUAACAGACCCCGCCCACCGCAGUAGCUACACAGUCAGUGUCUCUCCGUCGGCGGCGGACUCUCCACCGACAGGAGGCGUCAGUCCUCAGUCCCUGUCUCCGCCCCCCUCCUUCACCCCCUUCAGCUCCCAGCAGCACCCUGGGCACUAA
RNAcentral lists this long non-coding RNA (645 nucleotides) under Echeneis naucrates (live sharksucker). RNAcentral's name for it is "lncRNA (ENSENLG00000007507.1)". Lineage: Eukaryota; Metazoa; Chordata; Actinopteri; Carangiformes; Echeneidae. The record is from RNAcentral.